GUGUGCUUGAAAAUCAAUGCAAUAACUCAAAAUCAUAGAAUCGUUUUCAUAGAGGACCACUAAGCACAUGCCUAAAUGAUGGAAUUGAGCGCAAGAAAGCACAAUAAAUACGUUGUAGGGUUUUAAUAAGGGAUUUCUAUUGUGUGGGUUGAGUUUGAUAACA
Molecule: ribosomal RNA, 163 nt
Filed under: Helicobacter pylori CPY1124
Lineage: Bacteria; Pseudomonadati; Campylobacterota; Epsilonproteobacteria; Campylobacterales; Helicobacteraceae
Description: partial 16S ribosomal RNA
Source: RNAcentral